This 449-nucleotide ribosomal RNA is filed under the name uncultured bacterium. RNAcentral describes it as "partial 16S ribosomal RNA". It matches the Rfam family "Bacterial small subunit ribosomal RNA", at positions 354 to 796 of the family's 1533-position model. The record is from RNAcentral.
GUCGAGAAUCUUUCACAAUGGGGGCAACCCUGAUGGAGCGACGCCGCGUGGAGGAUAAGGUCUUCGGAUUGUAAACUCCUGUCAUGCGUGAACAAGGUUGCUUGGUUAAUACCUGGGCAAAUUGAUGGUAACGCAAGAGGAAGAGACGGCUAACUCUGUGCCAGCAGCCGCGGUAAUACAGAGGUCUCAAGCGUUGUUCGGAAUCACUGGGCGUAAAGGGUGCGUAGGUGGCGUGGUAAGUCAGAUGUGAAAGCCCGGGGCUCAGCCUCGGAACUGCAUCCGAUACUGCCAUGCUAGAGUACUGGAGAGGUGACUAGAAUUCUCGGUGUAGCAGUGAAAUGCGUAGAUAUCGAGAGGAAUACCAAAGGCGUAGGCAGGUCACUGGACAGUUACUGACACUGAGGCACGAAGGCCAGGGGAGCGAACGGGAUUAGAAACCCUAGUAGUCC